RNAcentral lists this ribosomal RNA (254 nucleotides) under uncultured bacterium. RNAcentral's name for it is "partial 16S ribosomal RNA". It matches the Rfam family "Bacterial small subunit ribosomal RNA", at positions 524 to 776 of the family's 1533-position model. The record is from RNAcentral.
UACGUAGGGUGCGAGCGUUAAUCGGAAUUACUGGGCGUAAAGGGUGCGCAGGCGGUCUCGUAAGCUGGGUGUGAAAGCCCCGGGCUUAACCUGGGAAUGGCAUUCAGGACUGCGAGGCUUUGAGUGUGGCAGAGGGAGGUGGAAUUCCACGUGUAGCAGUGAAAUGCGUAGAGAUGUGGAGGAACACCGAUGGCGAAGGCAGCCUCCUGGGCCAGCACUGACGCUCAGUGCACGAAAGCGUGGGAGCAAACAGG